GACGAGGUGGCCGAGAGGUUAAGGCGAUGGACUGGUAAUCCAUUGUGCUCUCCACGUGUGGGUUCAAAUCCCACCUUCUUCG
Molecule: non-coding RNA, 82 nt
Organism: Malaclemys terrapin pileata
Lineage: Eukaryota; Metazoa; Chordata; Testudines; Emydidae
Source: the annotation of a RefSeq genome assembly